CACGUAGGUGGGUCGCUAAGUCGGGGGUGAAAUCCUGGAGCUCAACUCCAGAACUGCCUUCGAUACUGGCGAUCUUUGAGUCCGGGAGAGGUGGGUGGAACUGCGAGUGUAGAGGUGAAAUUCGUAGAUAUUCGCAAGAACACCAGUGGCGAAGGCGGCUCACUGGCCCGGUACUGACACUGAGGUGCGAAAGCGUGGGGAGCAAACA
This 208-nucleotide ribosomal RNA is filed under the name uncultured bacterium. RNAcentral's name for it is "partial 16S ribosomal RNA". It matches the Rfam family "Bacterial small subunit ribosomal RNA", at positions 568 to 774 of the family's 1533-position model. The record is from RNAcentral.